This 449-nucleotide ribosomal RNA is filed under the name uncultured bacterium. RNAcentral's name for it is "bacterial SSU rRNA". It matches the Rfam family "Bacterial small subunit ribosomal RNA", at positions 355 to 796 of the family's 1533-position model. The record is from RNAcentral.
UCGAGAAUAAUUCGCAAUGGGCGAAAGCCUGACGAUGCGACGCCGUGUGAACGAUGAAGGCCUUCGGGUUGUAAAGUUCUGUCGCCUGUGAACAAGGGUAUGUAUUGAAUAGAUGCGUACUUUGAGUGUAACAGGAAAGGAAGCACCGGCUAACUCCGUGCCAGCAGCUGCGGUAAUACGGAGGGUGCAAGCAUUAAUCGGAAUUACUGGGCGUAAAGGGUGCGUAGGCGGGAAUGUAAGUCAAAUGUGAAAUUCCGAGGCUUAACCUCGGAGCUGCAUCUGAAACUACAUUUCUAGAGGAAUGGCGGAGAAAAUGGAAUUCCACGUGUAGCGGUGAAAUGCGUAGAUAUGUGGAAGAACACCUGUGGCGAAAGCGGUUUUCUAGCCUAUUCCUGACGCUGAGGCACGAAAGCAAGGGGAGCAAACAGGAUUAGAUACCCCCGUAGUCC